GGACUGUAGCAAUACAGUUGCUGGCGACCGGCAAACGGGUGCGGAACACGUACGCAACCUUCCUUUAAGUGGAGGAUAGCCCGGGGAAACCCGGAUUAAUACUCCGUAACAUUAUGAAGUGGCAUCACUUUAUAAUUAUAGCUCCGGCGCUUAAAGAUGGGCGUGCGUCUGAUUAGGUAGUUGGCGGGGUAAUGGCCCACCAAGCCUACGAUCAGUAACUGGUGUGAGAGCACGACCAGUCACACGGGCACUGAGACACGGGCCCGACUCCUACGGGAGGCAGCAGUAAGGAAUAUUGGUCAAUGGACGCAAGUCUGAACCAGCCAUGCCGCGUGGAGGAUGAAGGUCCUCUGGAUUGUAAACUUCUUUUAUCUGGGAAGAAACCCAUGGUUUCUACUGUGGUUGACGGUACCAGAUGAAUAAGCACCGGCUAACUCCGUGCCAGCAGCCGCGGUAAUACGGAGGGUGCAAGCGUUAUCCGGAUUCACUGGGUUUAAAGGGUGCGUAGGCGGGCAGGUAAGUCAGUGGUGAAAUCUCCGGGCUUAACCCGGAAACUGCCGUUGAUACUAUCUGUCUUGAAUAUAGUGGAGGUGAGCGGAAUAUGUCAUGUAGCGGUGAAAUGCUUAGAUAUGACAUAGAACACCAAUUGCGAAGGCAGCUCGCUACACUAUUAUUGACGCUGAGGCACGAAAGCGUGGGGAUCAAACAGGAUUAGAUACCCUGGUAGUCCACGCCCUAAACGAUGAUUACUCGACAUCAGCGAUACACUGUUGGUGUCUGAGCGAAAGCAUUAAGUAAUCCACCU
RNAcentral lists this ribosomal RNA (805 nucleotides) under uncultured Sphingobacteriia bacterium. RNAcentral describes it as "bacterial SSU rRNA". It matches the Rfam family "Bacterial small subunit ribosomal RNA", at positions 71 to 874 of the family's 1533-position model. The record is from RNAcentral. Lineage: Bacteria; Pseudomonadati; Bacteroidota; Sphingobacteriia.